This 253-nucleotide ribosomal RNA is filed under the name uncultured bacterium. RNAcentral describes it as "partial 16S ribosomal RNA". It matches the Rfam family "Bacterial small subunit ribosomal RNA", at positions 524 to 776 of the family's 1533-position model. The record is from RNAcentral.
UACGUAGGGGGCAAGCGUUGUCCGGAUUUAUUGGGCGUAAAGAGCGUGUAGGCGGCUAGACAGGUCCGUUGUGAAAACUAGAGGCUUAACCUCUAGACGUCGAUGGAAACUGUUUGGCUAGAGUCCGGAAGAGGAGAAUGGAAUUCCUGGUGUAGCGGUGAAAUGCGCAGAUAUCAGGAAGAACACCCGUGGCUAAGGCGGUUCUCUAGUACGGUACUGACGCUGAGACGCGAAAGCGUGGGGAGCGAACAGG